This is a non-coding RNA of Callorhinus ursinus (northern fur seal), 267 nucleotides long. The record is from RefSeq and is a predicted model, not a curated record. Lineage: Eukaryota; Metazoa; Chordata; Mammalia; Carnivora; Otariidae.
ACCAUCUAAGUGUUUCAAUCAGAGAAAAUUUAACACAAGGAAUUGGUUACAUGGGUGACUGGAUACCAAAGGAAGACAAUUUAUGAGAAGUGUUUUUCAGGCAAAGACCAAGACCAAGUGGGACUUGGAGGAGCAAUAGAUGUGUAGUUUAGACAGAAGAAAUACUCUGUGCAAGAGCCUAGAGGGUGAAACCAACAGCUCCAGAGGAAAAAGAAGGAAGCUACUCACAGAGAACAAAAUCAGCAUCUAAACAGAAAACAAGAACAU